UGAGGAAUAUUGCGCAAUGGCCGAAAGGCUGACGCAGCGACGCCGCGUGAAGGAUGAAGUCCGUUAGGAUGUAAACUUCUUUUGCAGGGGAUGAAUGUUCCGUUACGCGGAAUUGACCGUACCCUGCGAAUAAGGAUCGGCCAACUACGUGCCAGCAGCCGCGGUAAUACGUAGGAUCCGAGCGUUGUCCGGAAUUACUGGGUGUAAAGGGCGUGUAGGUGGAUCUCCAAGUCGAUCGUGAAAUCUUGCAGCUUAACUGCAAAACUGCCGUCGAUACUGGAGAUCUUGAGUGCGGCAGAGGGAGAUGGAAUUCAUGGUGUAGCGGUGAAAUGUGUAGAUAUCAUGAAGAACACCGGUAGCGAAGGCGGUCUCCUGGUCCGUAACUGACACUGAGGCGCGAAAGCGUGGGGAGCAAACAGGAUUAGAUACCCUGGUAGUCCACGCCUUAAACGAUGGGUACUCGGUGCUGGGCCGCAAGGUUCAGUGCCUACGCUAACGCAUUAAGUACCCCACCUGGGGAGUACGAUCGCAAGGUUG
RNAcentral lists this ribosomal RNA (537 nucleotides) under uncultured bacterium. RNAcentral's name for it is "bacterial SSU rRNA". It matches the Rfam family "Bacterial small subunit ribosomal RNA", at positions 355 to 896 of the family's 1533-position model. The record is from RNAcentral.